Manihot esculenta (cassava) is the source of this 758-nucleotide long non-coding RNA. RefSeq lists it as uncharacterized. The record is from RefSeq and is a predicted model, not a curated record. The transcript is spliced from 2 exons. NCBI's taxonomy places the organism in Eukaryota, Viridiplantae, Streptophyta, Magnoliopsida, Malpighiales, Euphorbiaceae.
AAGCCAAGUGGCACAACCAAAAAAAAAAAAGAAAAAGAAAAGAAAAAAAAAAGAAAGAGAAAAGAAGAAAGAAGAAAAGGCUAGAAGAGAGAGAGAAACUCAUUUCUUUUCCUCCAUUUUCUCCUCCUUCCUCUGCCGAGAACCACAAAAAAAAUUUACAUUCUUCAUCUUUUCUCUUCUAUACCAAAAUUGCUUCAAAAUUUCACCUCCAAUUAAUUUCCCAUCUUCUCCCAACACCUUUCCAAAGAAGAAUUUGAAAAAAAGAAGGGAAAUCAAAGAGAAAUUUCAAGGGUGAGAGGGGAGUGAAUAGUAACCAAGGGUUUGGAAAUUUGAAAGAAGUGGAAAGGAAAAGUGGAAGUUCCAAAGGGAAAGAAAAGGAAGAGUAGAGAAGUAAAAAUUGUAGAAUAUUUUGGAAAUUCUAAGGUUUGUGCUCAACCCCAUUUGAAUCAAUUCAAGAAUUUGUUAAUUAGGUUUUAUUUGAAAUUUUACUAUCCUAGUAGAAGUAGACCAAGUGAAUAAUAGAUUAAUUAUAUUUGUAUAAUAAAAGUUUGAGAAAUAAUAGAUUUAAUAGAUAGAAAAUUCUAAAAUUUAUAUGUAAUUUAACUAAAAUUUAAUUUAUGGAUAUAAUGAAAUGACUCUAUGUUCUUUGAGAGAAAAAUAAUGUGGGUGGAUAUAGUGACAAUAAAAAAAAAAAAGAAAUUAAAGUGAUAAGAAAAGUUAGAUAUAGUGUAAAUAUGAUGUUUACAAUAGAAGAUAAA